Molecule: long non-coding RNA, 786 nt
Filed under: Arabidopsis lyrata
Lineage: Eukaryota; Viridiplantae; Streptophyta; Magnoliopsida; Brassicales; Brassicaceae
Description: long non-coding RNA (ALYR_LNC000852)
Source: RNAcentral
UCUCAACGGAUGGCGGCUCUUCUCAAUCCAAUUCGCUUCUCAGGUAAUCCUUACUCCGACGACUUUUUCCUCAAUUCUUCGUCUUUCUCAAUUGAAUCUGGAAAUCGUUAUCUUUUUCAAUUUCAUUGUAAAUUUUGCAGCUUUGAAUCAAGUGCUCUUUUUUCUAAAAGCUAUACAUGCAGUUGAAUGCAGAGAUUGGAGAAUUUGAUGAAGCCUUUGCAAUUUACAAGGGAUUAACCUUUUUUCCAAGAGGUAGAAGUAAACAUUGAAGAACUGAAUUUGGCACUAAAUAAUGAGCAGAUGGAUAACGAGGUAAGGAACCACAUGAUAUGGUGUCAAGCUCCUUCAUGAAACUAAAUUGGAUUAUGUGAUAUAAUUUAUUAUGAAGUUACCUUGAUCGAGUUGGUGAAGAAACAAAUCCCGUUUGUCAACUAGGUGAUCUGCAUAUGCUUGAAUUUGGGAGACGUUUUCUGCUCAUGACAUGUGUAUUUCUCUCUACAGAUUUCCAAAGCAAAGUUUGACCUUGUGCAAACUGUCCAAGAAAAUGCAAACGUUCGUCACAAAUUGUUCAAUCCCUGGUAUAUUUUUGUUCCUACUAGCACUAGUGCUAAGAUCAAAAUUUGUGUAUACACUAGUUUAAAUGUUUGUUGUGGAGACAGGGAGCUUUAGAAGAAAAGAAACUAGUACUUGGGGAAACAAAGAAAGCUGAACACUCCAGGAAAAGGCGGCCAUUCUUAACUCGGCGCAAAAAUAAACCUGCAAAGAAGAAGGAGGAGAAUGUUCAUG